Anolis carolinensis (green anole) is the source of this 2019-nucleotide long non-coding RNA. RefSeq lists it as uncharacterized. The transcript is spliced from 3 exons. NCBI's taxonomy places the organism in Eukaryota, Metazoa, Chordata, Lepidosauria, Squamata, Anolidae. The record is from RefSeq and is a predicted model, not a curated record.
ACCAUAAAGUGUUGUACAUGGAAAUAUUGGUAGUAAGAAGAAAUUCUUGAUAGGAUCCACAGUUUGUCUGGUUAUGCUGGUUUGUGAUGACAACUACUGUACAGUAUAUAAUAAAUGUUCAUUUUUUUGUUCAACAAUCAAUAUGAAUUUUUCUUCAUGGAAAAAUAAGACAUCCUCUGAAAAUAAGACCUAGCGCAUCUUUGGGAGCAAAAAUUAAUAUAAGAUGCUGUCUUAUUUUCAGGGAAACACGGUAAGUCAAUGUAUACAUGGUUGUAUAUAUGUUGGUUCGUACCACAAAGGCUCCCAAAUGUAGCACACAUAGCCUUUCUUAUCCAACUUAAAAUACAGUAGAGUCUCACUUAUCCAAGCCUCGCUUAUCCAAGUUUCUGAAUUAUCCAAGCCAUUUUUGUAGUCAAUGUUUUCAAUAUAUCGUGAUAUUUUGGUGCUAAAUUCAUAAAUACAGUAAUUACAACAUAACAUUACUGCGUAUUGAACUGCUUUUUCUGUCAAAUUUGUUUUAAACAUGAUGUUUUGGUACUUAAUUUGUAAAAUCAUAACCUAAUUUAAUGUUUAAUAGGCUUUUCCUUAAUCCCUCCUUAUUAUCCAAAAUAUUCGCUUAUCCAAGCUUCUGCCGGCCCGUUUAGCUUGGAUAAGUGAGACUCUACUGUAAUUGAGGGGCUUGAACUUUAAAAGAAACAGUGACACAUCUUUCAGGCCCAAAGCAGAGGGAAAGGAAAAGAUAGAAGAGAAAUGGCUGUGGCUAGGUGAAGUAGCCCUUCUGUCAUGUAACUGGGAAAGAAAUGGGAUGCAGUGGAUUGGUUGUUGCCUUUGGAAAAUGACAUUUUUUGGGGAAAAAAUCUUUUGGAGAUCAUAGCUUUUUAAGCAAAGCAUGGCCGUUCAGAGAAGAGCCAAAAACCCUUUAGAGUAGAAUCUUCACAUGUGGUAUACUACCAGAUAUAAUUAUGCAAGGCAAUGGUUUCAGUUGUUAGACUGAAUAACUUGUUAUCUCUGAUUUGUUAGGAAAACAGGGAGAUUAGACUGGCACCCACCCUGUCCACUUUCCGUAAAGAUCUAAAAACGUGGAUGUUCAAUUGUGCCUUCGAUUAAGCAGUUUCAACAGAUACUCAGCCCCAACUACAGCUCACUAUCAGCUACUGUACUUUAUCACUGUCCCUUGUCCUAGAGAUUUAGCAUUUUAACUGACAUUGCUCUUCCAGCCCUAAUUUUAUUAUUGUCCUUGAACCUUUUAACUAGCUCUGCUCAGAAGUUCUAUACACAAGCUCCUACCCUUUGAAUUCCAGUAUUUAUUACUGUUCAGGCUUUUGAUUGUUGAUGAUGAUGUUUUAUGUUGUCUAUGUGGUUAUAAGGUUGUUAAUUUUACUGAUUAAAAUGAUUAAUUGUUAAUUUUAUCCUAUCCUAUAGGUCGUUAAUUUUACGGACAACCUAUAGGAUGAUAAUUUUACCGAUUAUAGAUUAAAAUGUCUGCAUGUGAGCUGCUCCAAGUCCCUUUGGGGAGAUGGAGACUACACACUGAAAACCUGUUUGCCUCUGUACUGCUGUGAUUAUUUGGGACCACGCCACCACUGACCUGCUCAAAGGAUUUACUAAAGAGCGUGGUGCUUGUUCUAGCCAAACUAUGACUGCCCGGCUUAGACUUCCGCUGAUUCUUGCCCAGCAGAGCCUUGUUACUGUUGGUGCUGCUAUUUGAAAAAGCAGAGUGACUUGUAGUAGAAGUAGCCCUAGAGUAAAAACCUUCAUCAACUUCCGUGACGUCUAUUACUUCUUCUUCUGGAAUUCCUAGUUCACUGCCUGCAUUGAGAAAAAAGCCAGUUAAUAAAUGGAUGUAGAUGACUAUUUUGUAACUGAUUGAGUACUAUACUAUUAUAUUUUGGCAAUUCCCAGUGCAAAGCAAAAGACUCAGGACCAGUCAGGAAACUUACCCAUUAUAUCAAUCUGACAAAAAGAGUACAGUAAUUUGUUUUACAUGAUUAAAGUGUAUUUAAUAAAUGAAAAAUCAUG